This is a non-coding RNA of Suncus etruscus (white-toothed pygmy shrew), 561 nucleotides long. The record is from the annotation of a RefSeq genome assembly. NCBI's taxonomy places the organism in Eukaryota, Metazoa, Chordata, Mammalia, Eulipotyphla, Soricidae.
CCAGCCCGCAGCAUGGAAUGGAUAUGGAAAAUCCUCUUCCUGCUCACAGUGGCCACUGGUGUGGACUCCCAGGAGCAGCUGGUGCAGUCUGGGCCUGAGUUGAGGAAGCCUGGGACAUCAGUGAAGAUCUCCUGCCAGGCAUCCGGAUAUACCUUCACUAACUACGAAAUAAACUGGGUGCAGCAGCGACCUGGACAAGGGCUUGAGUGGAUGGGAGAUAUUUACACUGAUAAUGGUGAUACAAUCUACUUAAAGAAGUUCCAGGGCAGAGUCACUCUCACUGCAGACAAGUCCACCAGCACAGCCUACAUGGAAAUGAGCAAUCUGAGGCUUGAGGACACAGGCACAUAUUUCUGUGCGAGACACACACUACACAUCAACAUUUAUGGUAUCAUGUGGUAUUAUGAAAUUGAUUUCAGUUUCACGUGGAAUCAUGGUGUAGGUUCACACAAUCUGGGACAUUUCCAGAAAGGCUUUCAGAAGCUUGGACCAGCUCAAAGAACUGUGAACAAGAUCAAGAUGUCCCUCACACAAAUCUCAGCACUUAUGCAUAUUAUCUGA